CCCCAUCUCUCUUCUCCCUUUUUUUGGUCUUCGUACGAUUGAACCAAUAUACUUUAAGGUACUUCUUGCUACUGUAGUUGCUAGUGACAAAUGUAUACUGGUUGUUAUUGAUUUUCAUCCAGAUUGACUUCUUGUCGAUCUACAAAAUGGCGCUAGUAAGUUCGGGACGCCUAACACAGUUUAAGGCAAAAUGUUAUUUAGUUUAUGUCCUUUCCACUUUUUUCCGGGCUUGUGACUGAAAUUGGCAGUGUUCUGCCCCCCUACGCCCAUUAAUAUUCACAAAAUUAAGGAAAUAAUUCGUGUAUUUGUGAUUUUAAUAACUGAAUAGUAAAAUUAGGUCUGAUUGCAAUAUAAUAUAUAACCAUUGGAUUGUACUAUAGAACAGGCUUGAAAUAUCAGAUUAUAUAGAGUGUCGAUGUUUGGUAUUAUUGAACUAUUUUCAUCAAAUGUUGAUGCAUGUUUCCAAUGCUUAUGCGGAGUAGUACACAUAUCCAUGUACUUAUGGUUAUAUAAAAGGCUUUUAAAAUCCAUCUAGUUCACGGCGAAGAAGAUGGCCUCUGCCCGGCGAAUGUUCAAGUCCACACCCAUCUAGUUCAUAUGUAUGGAAGUAGGGGCGCAUGCUCUUUUUAAUAAAUCUUUUUUAAUGCCCCACAAAAUCAUUUGUUUUGUAUUGAUCAGUGUAUACAUGCACUUGGGUUGAGUGCAUGGACAACUCUUAUGUUUUACAUUCCCAAAGAGAUAAUGGAUGAUGGUACCUUAGACUACAAAACUGAUAAUUUAUAAUUAGUUGAGUGAAAUCAGUUUUGACUCUCCAUGUUUGAUGUGUAAAGCACAAUAUGUGUAAAGCACUGCCAAGAUUUGCUAUGUCGACCAUUUAGUCCUGCGGUACAAUGGAGAUUCCAAUAAUCCCAUAGUCCGUGGAUGCUGCUAGUCAGUAGGUUAAUAAUGUGAACCCCUAUUUAAAAAAUUAUUUUUACCUGUCCUCAUAUUUGUAAUCAUUCAUUGAAUAUGAAUGGUAAAAGGUGAAAAUGCGUGUUAGAGAGGCGCACAUCUAUCAAAAGGAUCUGGUGAUUUUCUGGAAUGAUUAUGCGGGUCAGACAUGUUAUGGAUCUACAUAACCAACUGAGUACACCUCCUUUUUUAUUCUAUUGUCGUUAUAAACAAAAGCCUCCUUUAUCAAUUCCUUGUGAUACUAAAGAAAAUCUAAGUGCAUAUUAGAACAGAAGAUGUAAUAUCAAUUGAAUCUGCAUAAUUUUAUAUUAAGAUGAGCACGACUAAACAUUCAUAGUCUUCAAAGUAGAUUUGUCUGCAUGCACACAUAAUUAGUUAAAUCCAUGUUCUCAUGGACUCUAAAGUAAACACAAUUGUAUGCCAAUGCAAAUUACUACUCCCUCCGUUCACAAAUAUAAGAUGUUUUGGAUAUUUCAAUAUGUACUACAUACAGAUUGAAAUGAGUGAACAAACAUACUAAAACGUGUCUAUAUACAUCCAAUUCACAAAAAAAUUGGAACAUCUUAUAUUAGUGAACGAAGGGAGUACAAAGUAUAUAGAGUAUCUAGAAUAUAUUUGUGUAAGUACAACCAAGGGGAUUAAGUUUGUAGUUUAGCACUUGCUACUGCCUUGUUCUAGCUUGUGUUCCUUCCAGGUGCUUUCUUAAUUCUCUUGUCUUCUAUUGAUCCUUUUCUCCUAGUUUUAAAUGCCGUCUUUUUUUCUUUUUUCCUGUAGAUUUUGAAUCCUACUCGUUCACUAAAAUUUGAAUGUCAGUAACAUAAUUUCCCUGCUAGGCUAGCUUUAGUAGAAUUUAAUUGUGUUCAGAGAUGCAUAUGGGGCAUUGUAGCACCAAGAUGCUAGUGCAUGUCCGUCCGAACAUUUUAAAAUAUGAACUUUCUUUCUUAGAUGAGAGUACCUCGUCAUUGAUAACAUCAAUGCUAAAAUGGUCAUGAUUUUCGUCCUGUCCUGCCUGUAAAGUAAGAUACUAUACCUUAUACUUCCUCUGUUCGAAAUUUCAUGUCGCAUAAAUGAAUGAAAAAUGGGUGUAUCUAAAACUAAAAUACGUCUAGAUACAUCCAUUUCUCCGACAAAUAAUUUUGGAUGGAGGGAGUAGUUUGGAAUAUGAAAUAGGACAUUUGUUUUUUCUUAAAUUAGAAAUGUAAAGUUUUGACAUGUGUAAAGUGUUCUUUCAGGUACUCUUUUAAAUUUGUUGUCGGUAAGAAUUUUAACAUGUGUAAGUUUCUCCAUAGUCUUCAUUUGAAUCAUCUUCUAGUGUACAUAGUGGUAUUUCUUUACAGAGGGAGUAAUUACAUAUGGACACACUUUCUUUUCGAAUAGAUUUGCCUGCAGUUUUUGGAAAUUCAUAAAAUAACGACAAUUAUUUAACACAUGUAGAAGAUGAGAAGUGAAAUACCUGGUCAUUGAGAAGUUUGUUCUCUGUAACCUUUUUUGCUUCAUUCGUCACUUCUGUUCCUUGGAUUUCCAGUUUGCUUUAUAAAGAAAAUACUUGCAUUAUACUUUUGGUAAACUAUUUGAACUUGUUUUCCAAUAUGGAUCCUGCUGGAGGUGGCUUGAUUUCGUGUAGAAGAUGGUACCUGCUAGAGGUGGUGUUGUCGCUAGAUGGAACUAAUGAUGUAGGUUGCGUCAUUGCUGGCUGGAGUUGAUCGGACAAUCCUCAAUAUUAUGUACAAUGUCCUACAAGCUCAAUAGUAUUUAGUGGAAAUAAAACUAAGUGGCUUGCCGAAUUGAGCUUAAACUUGUUAGUUGGGCAUAUUUUGGCAACGCAAAUAUAAACUUAUAUAUGUGCUAUUAAUUAGAACAAUGGGAUUCAUGAAAAGAACGGGUGGAUAUGAACUUUUAGAUGUGCUACAGAGUAUUAUUAUUAAUUAAAGAAUAGAACAGUUCUUGGAAAAGAAGAGGCGUUGCAUGCAAAGAGCGGUAGUAUAGGUUUUAGAGAGUCGAUACCUGCCUUGGCUUUGGUUGCCGCUAACGCUGCAUAGUGCAAGAACAAUUCCAAUGGAGAUGGUGGCUGUGCUAGAGCAUCCCAGUUCUUUUUUACUGAUCCGUCAGGUCUAACACCUGUGGCUGCUUGUCAGGUCCAACAUCCGCAUCGAGCAGCAGUGUGUCGGUUCGAUGGGAGAAGUCGGUUUUCAGUCCCUCAUGGAGGCCAUGCAGUUUAUGGCGUAUGUCUGUGUCCAGGCCGGUGCUUUGUGGACAGACCUUCAAAAUUCAGGACAUCUUGAAGGAGAAAGGUAGGGUUCUCUUGAGGAAGUUUGGGUGCCUCGGUGUAGCAGGAAUUGCUGAGUAUAUCUUGAAGGAGAUCUUUCUUUCUGGUAAAGUAUGUUUUGUUUAUGUAGAUGUCCAUCUGUACUAUAAUCUGGUAGUAAUGAAACAAUAGUUUCUUCUCGGAUGCAUGUUCUGCUUUCAUGUAAGAUGUAACAUCAGGUUGAAUUGAAAAGGGAAAUAAACAUGGCGCUUCAUGAACUUCUAUACGUUCUACUUGUAUGCGUUCUACAGGACUAAUUAAAAGUACAAAAUAGCUAUGGG
This 3537-nucleotide long non-coding RNA is filed under the name Triticum aestivum (bread wheat). RNAcentral describes it as "long non-coding RNA (TAES_LNC024012)". The stretch from base 1982 to 2107 matches the Rfam family "MIR1120/MIR1122 microRNA precursor family". The record is from RNAcentral. Lineage: Eukaryota; Viridiplantae; Streptophyta; Magnoliopsida; Poales; Poaceae.